GACGAACGCUGGCGGCGUGCCUAAUACAUGCAAGUCGAGCGGACGAAUCGAAAGCUUGCUUUUGAUUCGUUAGCGGCGGACGGGUGAGUAACACGUGGGCAACCCGCCCUGUAGACGGGGAUAACACCGAGAAAUCGGUGCUAAUACCGGAUAACACGAAAUGUCGCAUGACGUUUCGUUGAAAGACGGCGCAAGCUGUCGCUACAGGAUGGGCCCGCGGCGCAUUAGCUAGUUGGUGAGGUAACGGCUCACCAAGGCGACGAUGCGUAGCCGACCUGAGAGGGUGAUCGGCCACACUGGGACUGAGACACGGCCCAGACUCCUACGGGAGGCAGCAGUAGGGAAUCUUCCGCAAUGGACGAAAGUCUGACGGAGCAACGCCGCGUGAGCGAAGAAGGCCUUCGGGUCGUAAAGCUCUGUUGUUAGGGAAGAACAAGUAACGCAGUAACUGGCGUUACCGUGACGGUACCUAACGAGAAAGCCACGGCUAACUACGUG
Molecule: ribosomal RNA, 498 nt
Filed under: uncultured bacterium
Lineage: Bacteria
Description: partial 16S ribosomal RNA
Rfam family: Bacterial small subunit ribosomal RNA
Source: RNAcentral